GCAGUGAUUAGGAUUAAGUACUAACUCAAAUCUAGUAAGUGUGUCGAAAAGAUUCAAAGAUGAAUCUCGGUAAGUUGUAAAGAUACAGAGUUCCCUAACUCUGGUAAUAAGGUUGAACAGAAGUGGUGAAUAGAUAAAGUCUAAAAGACUAAAAGUUCAGUGAUAGGAGAUCGUAAAACAAAACGAUCAUAGUCAUAUAAUUUAAUCGUAAUAUAUACGAUGAGAUCACCCCGUGAUCUGUUAAGGUUAUGACAGCCAGAAAGAAUCAAUCUAAUGAUUGAAAAGUUU
RNAcentral lists this long non-coding RNA (288 nucleotides) under Panax ginseng (ginseng). RNAcentral's name for it is "long non-coding RNA (PGIN_LNC000885)". The record is from RNAcentral. Lineage: Eukaryota; Viridiplantae; Streptophyta; Magnoliopsida; Apiales; Araliaceae.